RNAcentral lists this ribosomal RNA (648 nucleotides) under Bacillus pumilus. Its description in RNAcentral is "bacterial SSU rRNA". It matches the Rfam family "Bacterial small subunit ribosomal RNA", at positions 126 to 759 of the family's 1533-position model. The record is from RNAcentral. Lineage: Bacteria; Bacillati; Bacillota; Bacilli; Caryophanales; Bacillaceae.
CUGCCUGUAAGACUGGGAUAACUCCGGGAAACCGGAGCUAAUACCGGAUAGUUCCUUGAACCGCAUGGUUCAAGGAUGAAAGACGGUUUCGGCUGUCACUUACAGAUGGACCCGCGGCGCAUUAGCUAGUUGGUGGGGUAAUGGCUCACCAAGGCGACGAUGCGUAGCCGACCUGAGAGGGUGAUCGGCCACACUGGGACUGAGACACGGCCCAGACUCCUACGGGAGGCAGCAGUAGGGAAUCUUCCGCAAUGGACGAAAGUCUGACGGAGCAACGCCGCGUGAGUGAUGAAGGUUUUCGGAUCGUAAAGCUCUGUUGUUAGGGAAGAACAAGUGCGAGAGUAACUGCUCGCACCUUGACGGUACCUAACCAGAAAGCCACGGCUAACUACGUGCCAGCAGCCGCGGUAAUACGUAGGUGGCGAGCGUUGUCCGGAAUUAUUGGGCGUAAAGGGCUCGCAGGCGGUUUCUUAAGUCUGAUGUGAAAGCCCCCGGCUCUACCCGGGGAGGGUCAUUGGAAACUGGGAAACUUGAGUGCAGAAGAAGAGAGUGGAAUUCCACGUGUAGCGGUGAAAUGCGUAGAGAUGUGGAGGAACACCAGUGGCGAAGGCGACUCUCUGGUCUGUAACUGACGCUGAGGAGCGAAAG